Hemicordylus capensis (graceful crag lizard) is the source of this 368-nucleotide long non-coding RNA. RefSeq lists it as uncharacterized. The record is from RefSeq and is a predicted model, not a curated record. Lineage: Eukaryota; Metazoa; Chordata; Lepidosauria; Squamata; Cordylidae. The transcript has 3 exons.
UGGACAGUGACCCCUGUAGCCACAGCUCUCUAUUGUUUCCAUGCCUGCUGGGUCCCACUGGUUGGCUGGAAGAGGUAAAUGGAUCCACAUGACCAGAAACACAUGAUCUCUCCCAGACUACCAAAAAUAAUCAGAAACCCUGGAAAAAUGCUGCAGAACUCUCCCAUCGGACAGCAUGGGUCAUGAGACCUCAUUGAGCUAGGAAAGGACAAGUGUCACAGCAACAUACAAUGCAUCCCCCACAAAGGAAAAACCAUGGCUUACUACAAAAUGCAGAACCGUAGCUUUCAGUCAUCCUCCUCAAUGUGGUACAUCAGUGAUCUCACCACAGUGCAGGAAGUUAUGGCAGCACAUUCUGAAGAAAUGGA